RNAcentral lists this transfer RNA (73 nucleotides) under Astyanax mexicanus (Mexican tetra). It matches the Rfam family "tRNA". Rfam says of the family: Transfer RNA (tRNA) molecules are approximately 80 nucleotides in length. Their secondary structure includes four short double-helical elements and three loops (D, anti-codon, and T loops). Lineage: Eukaryota; Metazoa; Chordata; Actinopteri; Characiformes; Acestrorhamphidae. The record is from Rfam by way of RNAcentral.
GGCUCCGUAGCUCAGUGGUUAGAGCGCUGGUCUAGUAAACCAGAGGUCGCGAGUUCGAUUCUUGCUGGGGCCU